GUCAACGUGUUUGGCUAAGAUUUUCUGUAUGCUAAUAAACAGGCUAAAACAAUACUGGCUGGAGAAAUGGAAGUGGUAAAGGCAGGAAUGGGCCACGGUGACCUGAGCAUGGAAGCGUACAGCCAGGUGUGGGAGGAGUGUUAUGGUCAGGUGUUGUAUCUCCCUGGUCAAAACAGGUACACCAGAGCGAAUUUAGCAUCGAAGAAGGACAGAAUUGAUAGUCUGGAGAAGAAACUGGAGGUACGGGAAAAACACUUGAGGUGCAACACAAGUGUAGA
Cynoglossus semilaevis (tongue sole) is the source of this 278-nucleotide long non-coding RNA. RefSeq lists it as uncharacterized. The transcript is spliced from 2 exons. The record is from RefSeq and is a predicted model, not a curated record. Lineage: Eukaryota; Metazoa; Chordata; Actinopteri; Pleuronectiformes; Cynoglossidae.